ACGGGGGGACUCCUACGGGAGGCAGCAGUGGGGAAUAUUGGACAAUGGGCGAAAGCCUGAUCCAGCAAUGCCGCGUGAGUGAUGAAGGCCCUAGGGUUGUAAAGCUCUUUUACCCGGGAUGAUAAUGACAGUACCGGGAGAAUAAGCUCCGGCUAACUCCGUGCCAGCAGCCGCGGUAAU
Molecule: ribosomal RNA, 180 nt
Filed under: uncultured Sphingopyxis sp.
Lineage: Bacteria; Pseudomonadati; Pseudomonadota; Alphaproteobacteria; Sphingomonadales; Sphingopyxidaceae
Description: partial 16S ribosomal RNA
Rfam family: Bacterial small subunit ribosomal RNA
Source: RNAcentral